GCCGCCAUGGUGAAAUUGGUAGACACGCUGCUCUUAGGAAGCAGUGCUAGCGCAUCUCGGUUCGAAUCCGAGUGGCGGCA
Molecule: transfer RNA, 80 nt
Filed under: Takakia lepidozioides
Lineage: Eukaryota; Viridiplantae; Streptophyta; Takakiopsida; Takakiales; Takakiaceae
Also listed under: 1 other name
Description: tRNA-Leu
Rfam family: tRNA
About the family: Transfer RNA (tRNA) molecules are approximately 80 nucleotides in length.
Source: RNAcentral